Molecule: ribosomal RNA, 549 nt
Filed under: uncultured Glomeromycotina
Lineage: Eukaryota; Fungi; Glomeromycota
Description: SSU rRNA
Rfam family: Eukaryotic small subunit ribosomal RNA
Source: RNAcentral
UUGGAGGGCAAGUCUGGUGCCAGCAGCCGCGGUAAUUCCAGCUCCAAUAGCGUAUAUUAAAGUUGUUGCAGUUAAAAAGCUCGUAGUUGAAUUUCGGGGUUAGUAGGUUGGUCAUGCCACUGGUAUGUACUGGUCUCACUGAUUCCUCCUUCCUGAUGAGCCGUAAUGCCAUUAAUUUGGUGUUGCGAGGAAUCUGGACUGUUACUUUGAAAAAAUUAGAGUGUUUAAAGCAAGCUAACGCUUGAAUACAUUAGCAUGGAAUAAUGAAAUAGGACGUUCGAUCCUAUUUUGUUGGUUUCUAGGAUUGACGUAAUGAUUAAUAGGGAUAGUUGGGGGCAUUAGUAUUCAAUUGUCAGAGGUGAAAUUCUUGGAUUUAUUGAAGACUAACUACUGCGAAAGCAUUUGCCAAGGAUGUUUUCAUUAAUCAAGAACGAAAGUUAGGGGAUCGAAGACGAUCAGAUACCGUCGUAGUCUUAACCAUAAACUAUGCCGACUAGGGAUCGGAUGAUGUUAAUUUUUUAAUGACUCAUUCGGCGCCUUACGGGAAAC